CGCAAGCCUGACGGAGCAACGCCGCGUGAGGGAUGGAGGCCUUUGGGCUGUAAACCUCUUUUCUCAAGGAAGAAGAUCUGACGGUACUUGAGGAAUAAGCCACGGCUAAUUCCGUGCCAGCAGCCGCGGUAAUACGGGAGUGGCAAGCGUUAUCCGGAAUUAUUGGGCGUAAAGCGUCCGCAGGCGGCCGUUUAAGUCUGUUGUUAAAUCGUGGAGCUCAACUCCAUCACGGCAAUGGAAACUGUUCGGCUUGAGUAUGGUAGGGGCAGAGGGAAUUUCCGGUGUAGCGGUGAAAUGCGUAGAUAUCGGGAAGAACACCAGUGGCAAAAGCGCUCUGCUGGGCCAUUACUGACGCUCAUGGACGAAAGCCAGGGGAGCGAAAGGGAUUAGAUACCCCUGUAGUCCUGGCCGUAAACGAUGAACACUAGAUGUUGGGGGAAUCGACCCCCUCGGUGUCGUAGCUAACGCGUUAAGUGUUCCGCCUGGGGAGUACGCACGCAAGUGUGAAACUCAAAGGAAUUGACGGGGGCCCGCACAAGCGGUGGAGUAUGUGGUUUAAUUCGAUGCAACGCGAAGAACCUUACCAAGGAUUGACAUCCUGCGAAUCUCCAAGAAAUUGGAGAGUGCCUUUUGGAACGCAGUGACAGGUGGUGCAUGGCUGUCGUCAGCUCGUGUCGUGAGAUGUUGGGUUAAGUCCCGCAACGAGCGCAACCCACGUUUUUAGUUGCCAGCAUUCAGUUGGGCACUCUAGAAAGACUGCCGGUGACAAACCGGAGGAAGGUGUGGACGACGUCAAGUCAUCAUGCCCCUUACGCCUUGGGCUACACACGUACUACAAUGCUGCGGACAAAGAGUAGCGAUCUUGCAAAGUUAAGCUAAUCUCGUAAACCGCGGCUCAGUUCAGAUCGUAGGCUGCAACUCGCCUACGUGAAGGAGGAAUCGCUAGUAAUCGCAGGUCAGCAUACUGCGGUGAAUACGUUCCCGGGCCUUGUACACACCGCCCGUCACACCAUGGAAGUUGGCCAUGCCCGAAGUCGUUACUCUAACCUUUUGGAAGAGGGCGCCGAAGGCAGGGCUAAUGACUGGGGUGAAGUCGUAACAAGGUAGCCGUAGCGGAAGCUGCGGCUGGAUCACCUCCUAA
Molecule: ribosomal RNA, 1141 nt
Filed under: Candidatus Synechococcus spongiarum
Lineage: Bacteria; Bacillati; Cyanobacteriota; Cyanophyceae; Synechococcales; Synechococcaceae
Description: bacterial SSU rRNA
Rfam family: Bacterial small subunit ribosomal RNA
Source: RNAcentral